GUCCACGCCGUAAACGAUGAGUGCUAGACGUUGGGGGACUCGGUCCCUUGGUGUCGCAGCUAACGCAUGAAGCACUCCGCCUGGGGAGUACGGCCGCAAGGUUAAAACUCAAAGGAAUUGACGGGGGCCCGCACAAGCGGUGGAGCAUGUGGUUUAAUUCGACGCAACGCGCAGAACCUUACCAGCUCUUGACAUGGGAAGUAUGGGACCGAGCGAUUGGUCUCUUCAGUUCGGCUGGCUUCCACACAGGUGCUGCAUGGCUGUCGU
Molecule: ribosomal RNA, 267 nt
Filed under: uncultured bacterium
Lineage: Bacteria
Description: partial 16S ribosomal RNA
Rfam family: Bacterial small subunit ribosomal RNA
Source: RNAcentral